This 460-nucleotide ribosomal RNA is filed under the name uncultured bacterium. Its description in RNAcentral is "partial 16S ribosomal RNA". It matches the Rfam family "Bacterial small subunit ribosomal RNA", at positions 338 to 795 of the family's 1533-position model. The record is from RNAcentral.
CCUACGGGAGGCUGCAGUGAGGAAUAUUGGUCAAUGGACGCAAGUCUGAACCAGCCAUGUCGCGUGCAGGAUGACGGCCCUAUGAGUUGUAAACUGCUUUUGUACGAGAGUAAACGCAGACACGUGUACCUGUUUGUAAGUAUCUUAUGAAUAAGGAUCGGCUAACUCCGUGCCAGCAGCCGCGGUAAUACGGAGGAUUCAAGCGUUAUCCGGAUUUAUUGGGUUUAACGGGUGCGUAGGCGGGCGGUUAAGUUAGAGGUGAAAUUCGGCGGCUCAACUUCGGAAUUGCAUCUGAUACUGGUCGGCGAGAGAGUAGUUGCGGUAGGCGGAAUGCAUGGUGGAGCGGUGAAAUGCUUAGAGAUCAUAAAGAACACCGAUUGCGAAGGCAGCUUACCAAGCUACUUCUGACGUUGAGGCACGAAAGCGUGGGGAGCAAACAGGAUUAGAUACCCGAGUAGUC